RNAcentral lists this unclassified non-coding RNA (188 nucleotides) under uncultured Cortinarius. RNAcentral's name for it is "sequence contains ITS2". Lineage: Eukaryota; Fungi; Basidiomycota; Agaricomycetes; Agaricales; Cortinariaceae. The record is from RNAcentral.
AUAUAUAUCAACCUCUUCUUUGUUGAAGUGUUUUGGAUGUGGGGGGGUUUGCUGGCCCAUCUUAAAGGGUCAGCUCCCCUGAAAUGCAUUAGCAGAACAACCUGUUCAUUGGUGUGAUAAACUAUCUACGCUAUUGAACGGCGAAGGCAGUUCAGCUUCCUAACAGUCCUUGGACAAAUCUAUCAUUU